RNAcentral lists this ribosomal RNA (2381 nucleotides) under Candidatus Nomurabacteria bacterium GW2011_GWE2_31_40. Its description in RNAcentral is "partial 23S ribosomal RNA". It matches the Rfam family "Bacterial large subunit ribosomal RNA", at positions 11 to 2357 of the family's 2925-position model. The record is from RNAcentral. Lineage: Bacteria; Candidatus Nomuraibacteriota.
UUAAGGGCGUAUGGUGGAUGCCUUGACUUUAAGAGGCGAUGAAGGACGUGGCGUUGCUGCGAUAAGCUUCGGGGAGGUGCUUAGCUACCUUUGAUCCGGAGAUUUCCGAAUGGGGAAACCCUAUCAAGUAAACCUUGAUAACUUUUAUCUUUAUGAUAAAAGAGCAUACCCUGGGAAGUGAAACAUCUCAGUACCAGGAGGAAUAGAGACAAAUAUGUAUUUCCUUAGUAGCGGCGAGCGAAAAGGAAGAAGCCCAAACCGUUCUCGCAAGAGGGCGGGGUUGUAAGAUGACAAUGUAGUUUACUAGGAGAGUUAAAAAAUAAAUUAUUAGUUGAAGUUGCUGGAAAGCGACACCGUAGGGGGUGAUAGUCCCGUAAACGAAAAUAAUUUAUCUCUUUUAUUGUUAUUCUUGAGUACCCCAGGACAUGAAUGGCCGGGGGGAAUCUAGCGGAACUAACCGCUAAGGCUAAAUACUCUUAAAGAUCGAUAGUGAACAAGUACCGUGAGGGAAAGGUGAAAAGCAGCCCGAUUAGGGCGGUGAAAUAGACCUGAAACCAUAUGUCUACAAGGAGUCGGAGCAGGUAUUUAUAUCUGCAACGGCGUGCCUAUUGAAGAAUGAGCCAACGAGUUUAUUCAUACUGCAAGGCUAAGCUGGCUAAAACAGCAGAGCCGAAGGGAAACCGAGUGUUAAUAGCGCGAAUGAGUAGUAUGCAUAAGACCCGAAGCCAGGUGAGCUUGCCAUGAGCAGGUUGAAGUUUGUCGAAAGACAAAUGGAGGACCGAACCGGUAGAUCGUACAACGUCUUCGGAUGACUUGUGGUAAGGAGUGAAAAGCUAAUCGAACCUGGUAAUAGCUGGUUCUCUCCGAAAUAGCUUUAGGGCUAGCGUCAAGUGUUUGUAGAGCACUGGAAGGUUUCGACAGGGAGCAAUCUCGCGAAACCUAUCAAACUCCGAAUACCAGAAACCAUAGCUUGGCAGUUAGGCCAUGGGGGCGAAGCUCCAUUGGCCAAAAGGGAAACAGCCCAGAUCUCAAAAUAAGGUCCCUAAAUUUAUGCUAAGUGUAAGAUAAGAAGGUGGAAUUUCUCUGACAAUGAGGAGGUUGGCUUAGAAGCAGCCAUCCUUUAAAGAUAGCGUAACAGCUCACUCAUCUAGAGAUUUUGCGUCGAAAAUAAUUGGGGCUAAGCAUAGUACCGAAUUUGAGGAUUCUGCUGUGAAGUAGGACUCGUGAGAGCCUAUGGAGCGUUUGGAAGUAAGAAUGUUGGCACAAGUAACCGCAAUGAGGGUGAGAUCCCCUCACGUCGAAAGAUCAAGGUUUCCUUGGUAAUGUCAAUCAGCCAAGGGUUAGUCGGGCCUAAGGGAAUGGAGAAAUCCGUACUCGAUGGACAUAGGGUUAAUAUUCCCUGACUUCUGUAUUUUGUGAUGGGACGACGGAGUGUAGUAUGUAUUGCUCAUUAUUGGAUUUGAAGUUUGUUUACUAAAGAUGAGGUGUAGGAAAAUCCGCACACUGCUUUCAAUGGCAAAUCUAAGGUAAAUGAAAAGUCUUAAGCCUCGGUUUAGGACAAUAAUACAAAGCACGCUUCCAAGAAAAAUCUCUAAACUUAAAAAUAUAGAAUCCGUACCGCAAACCGACACAGGUGAUCAGGUCGAGUAGACCAAGACGAACGAGUGAGUGGUCCCCAAGGAACUCGGCAAAAAAGCAGCCUAUUUCUAAAUAUUUGAGAGUGUUGGGAGAGUAAGAUUUAAGUAUCGAGCAAAAAGAGACAAUGAGGAAUUAAAUUAAAGCUCUUCAUCAUUUUUUAUUUCACAGAAUUUUUUUGUGAAGUAUCUAAAGUGGUGGGGGCCGCAGCGAAAGUUUCUCUGGCAACUGUUUACCAAAAACACAGCUCCCUGCGAACUCGUAAGAGGAUGUAUAGGGGGUGACACCUGACCAAUGCCAGAAGGUCAAAUAUCGGCGGUGUAUGUCGCAAGAUGUAUGCAGACUGAUAUAAGCCCUGGUGAAUGUCGGCCGUAACUAUAACGGUCCUAAGGUAGCGAAAUACCUUGUCGGGUAAGUUCCGACGCGCACGAAUGGUGUAAUGAGAAGAUGCCGGCUAAGUGCAGUUAGACGAAAAGACCCUAGAAGCUUUACUAUAACUUGAUAUUGAGCAUGUUUUUAAACUGCGUAGAAUAGAUGGGAGAGGUUUGAAGUGUACGGUUUCGGCUGUAUUCUACUCGUCAGUGAAAUACCAUUCUUUUUGAAGGCAUGUUCUAACCAAUACGGCAAAAACGUAUUGAGACAGUAUCUGGUGGAUAGUUUUACUGGGGCUGUACCCUCCUAAAAAGUAAAGGAGGGGUUUAAAGGUUAGCUAGGCGCGAAUGGAAACCGUGCCGAUAGUGUAAUGG